This 1773-nucleotide ribosomal RNA is filed under the name Shigella flexneri. Its description in RNAcentral is "partial 23S ribosomal RNA". It matches the Rfam family "Bacterial large subunit ribosomal RNA", at positions 1186 to 2925 of the family's 2925-position model. Lineage: Bacteria; Pseudomonadati; Pseudomonadota; Gammaproteobacteria; Enterobacterales; Enterobacteriaceae. The record is from RNAcentral.
ACCAUGCACCGAAGCUGCGGCAGCGACGCUUAUGCGUUGUUGGGUAGGGGAGCGUUCUGUAAGCCUGUGAAGGUGUGCUGUGAGGUAUGCUGGAGGUAUCAGAAGUGCGAAUGCUGACAUAAGUAACGAUAAAGCGGGUGAAAAGCCCGCUCGCCGGAAGACCAAGGGUUCCUGUCCAACGUUAAUCGGGGCAGGGUGAGUCGACCCCUAAGGCGAGGCCGAAAGGCGUAGUCGAUGGGAAACAGGUUAAUAUUCCUGUACUUGGUGUUACUGCGAAGGGGGGACGGAGAAGGCUAUGUUGGCCGGGCGACGGUUGUCCCGGUUUAAGCGUGUAGGCUGGUUUUCCAGGCAAAUCCGGAAAAUCAAGGCCGAGGCGUGAUGACGAGGCACUACGGUGCUGAAGCAACAAAUGCCCUGCUUCCAGGAAAAGCCUCUAAGCAUCAGGUAACAUCAAAUCGUACCCCAAACCGACACAGGUGGUCAGGUAGAGAAUACCAAGGCGCUUGAGAGAACUCGGGUGAAGGAACUAGGCAAAAUGGUGCCGUAACUUCGGGAGAAGGCACGCUGAUACGUAGGUGAAGCGACUUGCUCGUGGAGCUGAAAUCAGUCGAAGAUACCAGCUGGCUGCAACUGUUUAUUAAAAACACAGCACUGUGCAAACACGAAAGUGGACGUAUACGGUGUGACGCCUGCCCGGUGCCGGAAGGUUAAUUGAUGGGGUUAGCGCAAGCGAAGCUCUUGAUCGAAGCCCCGGUAAACGGCGGCCGUAACUAUAACGGUCCUAAGGUAGCGAAAUUCCUUGUCGGGUAAGUUCCGACCUGCACGAAUGGCGUAAUGAUGGCCAGGCUGUCUCCACCCGAGACUCAGUGAAAUUGAACUCGCUGUGAAGAUGCAGUGUACCCGCGGCAAGACGGAAAGACCCCGUGAACCUUUACUAUAGCUUGACACUGAACAUUGAGCCUUGAUGUGUAGGAUAGGUGGGAGGCUUUGAAGUGUGGACGCCAGUCUGCAUGGAGCCGACCUUGAAAUACCACCCUUUAAUGUUUGAUGUUCUAACGUGGACCCGUGAUCCGGGUUGCGGACAGUGUCUGGUGGGUAGUUUGACUGGGGCGGUCUCCUCCUAAAGAGUAACGGAGGAGCACGAAGGUUGGCUAAUCCUGGUCGGACAUCAGGAGGUUAGUGCAAUGGCAUAAGCCAGCUUGACUGCGAGCGUGACGGCGCGAGCAGGUGCGAAAGCAGGUCAUAGUGAUCCGGUGGUUCUGAAUGGAAGGGCCAUCGCUCAACGGAUAAAAGGUACUCCGGGGAUAACAGGCUGAUACCGCCCAAGAGUUCAUAUCGACGGCGGUGUUUGGCACCUCGAUGUCGGCUCAUCACAUCCUGGGGCUGAAGUAGGUCCCAAGGGUAUGGCUGUUCGCCAUUUAAAGUGGUACGCGAGCUGGGUUUAGAACGUCGUGAGACAGUUCGGUCCCUAUCUGCCGUGGGCGCUGGAGAACUGAGGGGGGCUGCUCCUAGUACGAGAGGACCGGAGUGGACGCAUCACUGGUGUUCGGGUUGUCAUGCCAAUGGCACUGCCCGGUAGCUAAAUGCGGAAGAGAUAAGUGCUGAAAGCAUCUAAGCACGAAACUUGCCCCGAGAUGAGUUCUCCCUGACCCUUUAAGGGUCCUGAAGGAACGUUGAAGACGACGACGUUGAUAGGCCGGGUGUGUAAGCGCAGCGAUGCGUUGAGCUAACCGGUACUAAUGAACCGUGAGGCUUAACCUUACAACGCCGAAG